AUUGAACGCUGGCGGCAUGCUUUACACAUGCAAGUCGAACGGUAACAGGCCUUCGGGUGCUGACGAGUGGCGAACGGGUGAGUAAUGCAUCGGAACGUGCCCAGAGGUGGGGGAUAACGCAGCGAAAGCUGUGCUAAUACCGCAUGUGAUCUGAGGAUGAAAGCGGGGGACCAAGCAGCAAUGUUUGGCCUCGCGCCUCUGGAGCGGCCGAUGUCAGAUUAGGUAGUUGGUGGGGUAAAGGCCUACCAAGCCGACGAUCUGUAGCUGGUCUGAGAGGACGACCAGCCACACUGGGACUGAGACACGGCCCAGACUCCUACGGGAGGCAGCAGUGGGGAAUUUUGGACAAUGGGCGCAAGCCUGAUCCAGCAAUGCCGCGUGCGGGAAGAAGGUCUUCGGGUUGUAAACCGCUUUUGUACGGAACGAAAAGGCUCUGGCUAAUACCUGGGGCUGAUGACGGUACCGUAAGAAUAAGCACCGGCUAACUACGUG
RNAcentral lists this ribosomal RNA (492 nucleotides) under uncultured bacterium. RNAcentral describes it as "partial 16S ribosomal RNA". It matches the Rfam family "Bacterial small subunit ribosomal RNA", at positions 30 to 507 of the family's 1533-position model. The record is from RNAcentral.